GCCUUCCUACGGGACGCAGCAGUGAGGAAUAUUGGUCAAUGAGCGGGAGCCUGAACCAGCCACGCCGCGUGAGGGAAGAAGGUACAGCGUAUCGUAACCCUCUUUUGUCAGGGAACAAGGGCGGGGACUAGUCCCCGGAUGAGGGUACCUGAAGAAAAAGCAUCGGCUAACUCCGUGCCCGCAGCCGCGGUAAUACGGAGGAUGCGAGCGUUAUCCGGAUUUAUUGGGUUUAAAGGGUGCGUAGGCGGCCUGUUACGUCAGCGGUAAAAGCCCGG
This 275-nucleotide ribosomal RNA is filed under the name uncultured bacterium. RNAcentral's name for it is "partial 16S ribosomal RNA". It matches the Rfam family "Bacterial small subunit ribosomal RNA", at positions 333 to 605 of the family's 1533-position model. The record is from RNAcentral.